AGGGGAAUAUUGCGCAAUGGGGGAAACCCUGACGCAGCGACGCCGCGUGCGGGAUGAAGGCCUUCGGGUUGUAAACCGCUUUUGAGUGGGAGCAAGCUUUCGGGUGAGUGUACCUUUCGAAUAAGCGCCGGCUAACUACGUGCCAGCAGCCGCGGUAAUACGUAGGGCGCAAGCGUUAUCCGGAAUUAUUGGGCGUAAAGAGCUUGUAGGCGGUUCGUCGCGUCUGGUGUGAAAGCCCAUCGCUUAACGGUGGGUUUGCGCCGGGUACGGGCGGGCUAGAGUGCAGUAGGGGAGACUGGAAUUCCCGGUGUAACGGUGGAAUGUGUAGAUAUCGGGAAGAACACCAAUGGCGAAGGCAGGUCUCUGGGCUGUUACUGACGCUGAGAAGCGAAAGCGUGGGGAGCGAACAGG
RNAcentral lists this ribosomal RNA (411 nucleotides) under Verrucomicrobiota bacterium. Its description in RNAcentral is "Verrucomicrobia bacterium partial 16S ribosomal RNA". It matches the Rfam family "Bacterial small subunit ribosomal RNA", at positions 355 to 776 of the family's 1533-position model. Lineage: Bacteria; Pseudomonadati; Verrucomicrobiota. The record is from RNAcentral.